UGGUUCAAAUUUAUGACGCUAGUUGAAUGACGUUUAACGGUUCUGUCAUUAUCUUUACCAUCCACGGGGGAAAGCUUAUGCAACGCAUUUCGCAUUUCGCGAGGGGUCAAAGAUACUAUUUGGUAUUCGUUAUGAUGAUAAUGGAUAUGUUCAAUUGAGCGAGAAACUAUUUUUAAAUAGAAACUUGGCACAGCCAAUCGAUAUAGUAAGUACGUUGCAAAUUGGGUCGACGACAAUUCCGAUGAGAUCAUGAAAAGUAUUAUUUGACUGUGAGAUACGAGAAUGAAAGAGAGAAAGAGAAAAAACUUUGCAAAGCGAUCGAUUAAACUCAUUGAUCGACGCACUAAAUUUUAAAGAUAAAAACGCACGAUUUGAAUAGAUUUUAUAAACUACAAAUACUUUAUUUAUAUGAUAAAUUGUAUAGCUUGCGUAUAGAGUCUGCAAAGGCAAACAGAAAUUGUAAUCAACACACACACUUUGUGAAACUGCAGCAAGGCUAAAGAUUAAAUUUAAUGUUAACUGGCAUCCAUCAUCGUCGUCUUCUUCUUUAAAUUAUAAACAUAUUUUUCAAUCUGUUGUGUUGUUUUUUAUCAUCAUCAUUGUAAAUACACUUAUAUCAUUUUUUACGCACGUCACAAAAACAAUUUUUGCUAAAUUGCUGCACACAAAUUAAAAUUCUGAAUAGUUGUUUUUUUUUGCUUAUUUUGGAGGACUGGCUUUAGCCGGAUCUUGUCUAGUUAAUUGUUUGUCGUUUGUUUUUGUUUAUCGUCGUUACAAUAUACACAUACAUUAUACAUUAGAUAUAUAUAGUUGCGUAGGUUUAGUUUCAUUAUGAAAGAGCACUUUAUCAGACUAAAAGAAAUACCCUUAAUACCUUCUAACUCAAAUUAUGUGGAAAGACAUUACAAAAAAAAAUAUAUAUAUAUGUAUGGUAAAACGAAAACAAACACAAUUGAAAACAUUAUGUAACAUAGGUGGUAGGCGGGGCAGGGGCGGUGCAGAAGGUAGAAGGGAAGUCGUCUGGUAUAAGUUGUAGAACAAUAUUUUAUCGUAGUUUUCUUGUUGUUUUUUCUCAUUUAAAGCGUCGUAAUCUUUUUUUUUGUUUGAUAUAAGUAAAUUCAACGCAUUUUGCGGUUUCUUUUUCUUUUUUUGUUGUAGGUGCUGGGAGAGAG
Molecule: long non-coding RNA, 1172 nt
Organism: Drosophila nasuta
Lineage: Eukaryota; Metazoa; Arthropoda; Insecta; Diptera; Drosophilidae
Exons: 2
Source: RefSeq, a predicted model, not a curated record